This 614-nucleotide ribosomal RNA is filed under the name Gliophorus psittacinus. RNAcentral's name for it is "eukaryotic LSU rRNA". The stretch from base 238 to 391 matches the Rfam family "5.8S ribosomal RNA". Lineage: Eukaryota; Fungi; Basidiomycota; Agaricomycetes; Agaricales; Hygrophoraceae. The record is from RNAcentral.
AAGGUUUCCGUAGGUGAACCUGCGGAAGGAUCAUUAUUGAAAUACUCGAGGAGGGGUUGNUGCUGGUCGAAAGACAACGUGCACACCUUUUCUUAUCCAUUUCUUUUAAAAACCUGUGAACCUCUUGUAGGCCAAGAGAUUGGUCUACGUUUUAUCAAACNCCUGUGGNGUGUGCRYGNGAACGUGUGNUAUNUUUAAUAAUAACACCACUUCCUUSAACGAAUUUAAUAUAUACACAACUUUCAACAACGGAUCUCUUGGCUCUCGCAUCGAUGAAGAACGCAGCGAAAUGCGAUAAGUAAUGUGAAUUGCAGAAUUCAGUGAAUCAUCGAAUCUUUGAACGCACCUUGCGCUCCUUGGUAUUCCGAGGAGCAUGCCUGUUUGAGUGUCGCGAACUUCUCAACCUUGGCAAUUUUAGUUUUGCCGAGGCUUGGAUCGUGGAGGUUCUGCCGGACUUGAUAAUAACGAGUUGGGCUCCUCUGAAAUGCAUCAGCAGACUUCUUUUAAAUUGCGGGCUUUGGUUUGAUAAUUUAUCUAUGUCAUCGCCAUCUGUUGAAGGGUCAGCUUACAAUCGUCCUCUGGACACACACUCCACGCUUUUGACCUCAAAUCCA